GCGAAACAAAACCAAAACAGAAUCCGUUUGGUUGCGGCCUUCAUUCCUCUUAUCGAGAUUGAGAUCGUGGUUGCUUCUGUGUGUUGGUGGUGAUCGAGGAGGAAGGAGAUGGGGGAUCUCGAGAAGCAGCUGAAGGAUCGGGCGAAGGAGCUAAAGAUCCUGUUCAGGAAGGGGAUGAAGGUGGUCGGAUCUGCCUGCAAGAAGGGAUGGUACAAGGUCCGCAAGCUCAGGGGAUGAUCGAUUCCUCUUCCGGGUUUGUUCGGCUUCGCUUCUCUUGAUUCCGUUCAUGUAGAUCCAGCACGUUCACGGAUGCUUUUUAAUUUUCCGUCUUAGCCUGCUUAGAAGUUAGAUCUGAAUACGUUGUUGCGUGUCUCUUCGGAUCCAUCGAUCUGUGGCCUUGAUUUCUUCACGCAAGCUUAAGGAUGUAGCACAAUUCUGUUCAUGUAGAUCCAGUUCUCUUAAUCUUUCGUCUUACCCUGCUUAGAAGUUUAGAAUCGAUAUCGUUUAAUUCAGUGUGAAUAUGUUUGUUGCGCAUCUCUUCUCAUGUAUCUGUUCCUAGUUUUCUUUCCUUGAUUUCUUCAAGUCAUCAUGCAAACUCAUCGAGGAAAAAGGAAACCAUAGAAACUGUGGAUCGAUUGUUUGUUUAAUGGCAAUGUCAAAUUUGCGAAAAGAAAAAAACUACUAAGGCAUAAUUAGUGUCGGUUUGCAUACAGAUAACAGAAUCAUCUUCUGAGAGCACAAAUAUGCCCAAAGUAUUCUAUAAGAUGCAUUUCCAAUUUAAUAGAAUGGCAUAAUCAUAAGAACAUGGCUUGUAUAAGGCCUGUCUUUGUUAUGUGCAUGAAUAGCACAGAGCAAAAACCAAUAGGUGUAAAAAGCUGAUACCAUCUUAUAAAACAGUCAAUAGGCAUAGAAGUAACUAUUCCUAUUUCUUAGUAGCACAGCAAAACUCCACCUUUGUGUUCUGUGAAUGUUUGAUUGAGAAUUGGUUUACAAUUGUAGAAGUCAUUAGCUUUGUAGUUGUUUUUGGUAUAAACAAGGUUAAAACCAGCCCAUUUUACCAAAAAGUGGACAUUAGAAGAUCAUUCAAGAGAGGCAAGAUUACAAUCCUUUAACACUAUAAUCACCUGCUUAUAAAGGUUCAGGUGAGUUGUCAUCAUACCUGUUAUGACAGGGCUUCAAAACCACAGCUUCUGAAGACACAUCAAUAACAUAAAUGAAAUGACAAGGUGACCAACAAAUCAGUAUUAAAGCAUUAGAAAAAGGAUAAUGCUUUCGCUUUAGGAUUGGUAAUCUCAGGGCAAUGAAACACACAUAAAAAACAUCUGCUUAAGAGCCUUGUGUUAGUCGCUGCAUCUCUCCUUGGCUAUCUAGUGUUUCCAUUAGCAGGGGAGGUGCAUAUUGUGCAGUCCCUUGAUGCUCCUCUGCAUCUUGGCAGAAGGAGAGGAUGAUAGUAUCGAUCGACAUCUCAACGACUGCAAAAAAAAGGGUUGCAACUAUGUAACCAAGCCCCCAAGUUACCUGCAUGAAAAUUUAAGCAUGUCAACACUGGUGUUCAACCUAUAUGCAUCACAAAGAAAAUAUAUUUACAGAGCAAGCUAUUGAUAGUCCAGCAGGAAAAGCACUUUCCUGCAUGGUUGGAUAUAAGGCUUAGAAGAAUGCAAAAGCAAAGAGAGAUUCACAAAUACAGACAUGAUGACCAUGCCAAGAAGACAGUCUUUUGUCAUUAAACUCCGGGCAUCUCUCCUAACACUUUACAUCAUAUCCACUGAUAGGAAUAGGAACAUAUUCUCCCAACUAAAGACGAUAGUAUAGUCGUGUUAUUCUACAAAAGACAUCAUAUGAAGCUCUCCAUACUGAAAUAUCACCCCUUUCUGCUUCUAUCCUAGAUAUGUCACUUUUUGCUUAAAUGCUUAUUGAUCCUAUAAAGAGAUCAUGUCUUGGAGAUCUGUUCACUACAAUCCUUCCCAUGCCAUAAAUAUUGGGUGAUCGACACACGCUACAUGACGCAUGAAAUAAAAUACUUCAUACAUCCACCUGCUUGCUUUUACUCCCAUUAUAGUGCGGUUCAUGCUUGAGUUUUAGUAGUAACCGAAGAGUGAGAUAAACUAGUAAGCACAAAGAGUUCCCCAAAGGUCUUCAAACAAACUAGAGACCUAUUUAUGAUAAUGUGACAUUUAUUUUGUCUUGAUCACCCAUGUGUGCAAUGAGGUUCAUGGGAAGCAUCCAUGAAGCAAUCCUGUGAUGGCACACACCAGGCAAAAUACUCCCAAAACAUCCUAGACCUAUUGUCUUGCUGAUUCUAGUACCUUCUAGUUAAGUUUGUGUUCUACUAAGUUUAAAGCAUUGUUUGCCUUCCUUUCCCAUGAAAAAAAUAGAGCACGAUUUGCAACUCUCAACUCAUAGGAAACAAGUGAAUUGAGAAAGAGAUAGAAAACAUCUAAUAGAGAACCUUACCAAAACAGGGAACAAAGGGGAUGAUAUCUUGUUAUGAGCAGAUUUGUAUUUGUGGGUGUCCAACAUGAGGAAUGCAAAUAAUGCACAAAACAGGCUCACACAUAGCUUCCCAAGGUAGAGAAUCACAUCUCCAAUGACAUUGACCUUUCCUAUGCGCAAUAUAUUAUUCAUAAUCAACCCAGUAGCAAUAGCAGAAGCUUUGCUAAAUCCUUUUCCUGUGAUGGCAAUCUGCAUUAUAUAAUGACCAAUACAAGUUAGCAAUAUAGCAAAGACAUAAAACCACAGAGCAUGCAAGAACUAACUAAUGAACACUGUACCAAGAACUAGCAAUAUAAGGCUGUCACAGACUUCAUCAAAUUGUUAAGAUUGUUUGCAACCAAAGACACGAGAAGUUCGAAAACCCAAAACCUGAAGAUGAUUGUGUGGUAUGUACUGUCCCACUUUCAUGUUAUUUCGGAUUUAGAUACUACUUAGGCUACCUAAACAUAGCAAAAUGCAUGCCCUUGCAUAUGAAUGGUGCAUAUUUGCUGUACAAUGCAUCCAUGGAUAUAUGACUAAUAAAAAGUAAAAGCUUUCCCUGACAGUCCCUACAUUGUGGAAGUACGGUGCAUGAAAUUUCUUUCCAGACACAAAGGUGGCAGAGAUAAAAAAUUGUGGUAAUGAUGUACCUAAAAUUCAUCAUUCAUAUUAAAAGAAAAAAAAAGAGAAUGAAACAAAAGCCUGUCUGGUCUACAAAAAAAUGAAUUAGUGCUUACGUCAGAUAAACAUUUCCAGUAAAGUGCCACAGAGAUGAGCAGAACAGACAACACAAUUAGAAAUUUAAUUGGACUGAAUAAGGAGCAAGAUUUAGCUGGUCUACAUGGCAAAAUACAAGCUUCCUCUAUAAGUGUUGUCCAAAUUAUUACCAUAAUAUAUGCAUUACGAUUCACGGACUUGAUGAUCCAAUCAAUGCAUCCUAAGCAGCAUUGAGAAGAAGAGGACAUGAACUUUCCAAUGCAGGUUACUGGAGCAGGAUCACUGUGUCUUAACCUGCGCCGUAGGGCCUCAAGUAUAAAUCUCACCCAUUCAACAAUUGAUACAACAAGGGAACCAAGAGCCACAGAUCCUAGACUGUAUCGCAAGAGCCGCUUCAUGGAAGAAAAUACAGGAAGAAAUGGAAUCUCCUGCUGCAUUCAGUUUAAAAAGAUUCAUUAUUCAAAAACAAAAGAUGAUCCAGUGCAAAGGAAUAAUCAAAACAACGAGGUUCAUUUCAUGCUAGGCACAAUAAGUAUUUUAACAUUCCCAUAGUUCACAGAAUGAUCUUUUCUGAAGGUGGAUAAAUAUGUCAUUGUCUGAACACACAUAAAAGCAUAUAUUUGUAGCUUUUCUUAUAGAAACAUCAGACUAUGGUAAUUUACACGAGGGCAAUUUACAAGCAUAGUAUAUCAUUCUAAAUCAGGAACCAAGCUGCAUCAAGGAAAACAAGGAGCUCGAUACAUGCAAAGUAUAAAGGAUUAACUUAAGUUUCAGAUUUAAGAGGACUACAAGGAUUGCUCUUUGAGUUUUAAGCGGAAGUACACCAUGGGCUCAAAACCAUAAUCUGAGUUCUCAGAAGCUGACAUUUUUUUAACCAACUAAUUUAAGAAACAGCUAAGAUUUAGCUACUCGGUCAAGUAUCAAGUUUCUCAAAUCUGUGACCUUAAGUUCGUGAAAUGUUGUGCCUGCAUAGAUCUAUUUGGACCCUGAGACUCGAACAACUUUAACUUAUGGCUUUACUUACCGAUAUCUCACCACGAGCCCAGUAGUAUGAGGCAACUGAUCCAGCAAUGACAGUUGAUGAGCAUGCAAUGAUAAACUGUGUUGCCCAGUAACAUCCAAAAAGGUGAAAAAGGAUAGAAAUUCCAAUAUUGCGAGUGUAAUGGAUACGAUAGCCACAACAAUUAUCACAAUUGAUCUUGUUGGACUUUAGGUCAAAUGAACAGCAGUUUCCACUACAAUCAUUUCUGAGGAUCUGACCAGAGCUGAAAAGAUGAAGAGCAGCAGAAAACCAGAACAUGUAAAAUACUGCAAGGAUAACAUAUGGCAGUAUCGGGAAAAUUAUAAGAGCCUGGACCUCGCCUAUUACUUUUGCUGCAACCUGAGCAUACCCAUAAAAGUUAGCUUACAGAAUAAAGUUUAGUAUACUAGAGAUGAAUGGAGAAGACGAUCAAAGCAAAAUCUUAAUUGUGAUGUUAAUGAAAUACUGCUUAUUGUAUAAGUUAAUAGAUGUUCAAAGCCAAUCAGGUUUUGCCUGAUCAUGUCAGAAUUCAAGUCAUAUAUUUCAAAGCAAUAGCUGGGUUUUCAUGCCUUCGUAUAUAUACAACUAGAUGUAGCUGUGCUUGCUAUCCAAAAGAAGAAAAUGCUUUAACUCCCACAUGAAAUUGCAGAUUCAGCUGAUUUCAGAAUCAUUAUUACCUUCAAAACUGAUGUCGCUAUAAGUAUUCGGCGGAUAAUUGCUAGUGAAGAGAGGAAGGCAAUAAUCAUUACUAUCGUCAUAAGAACAGCAACAGCACGAAUAUGAUUUAUUUCCUGCAUUGAAUCUGAAGAUAAGCAACAAUAGAGAGACAAUUGCCAAAUAUUUGUGACUCGUGAUAGGAACAAACCCGGCCACUUAUGUGGAUGUAAGGGUCGUGUUCACCAAUAACAACCGACAAGGCAUCAUUACCAAUCCACCCAGCUGAAAAGCAUUUAAGAACAUUAUUAUUUGGUGCUCAUUGGUCAAGAACAGAAACCAUAGUUUCAUUAAAAUAUAUAAUCAUAGUUUCAUUAAUGAGAAGUAUCGAGACAUUAAUAAUGAACGACUAGGCCACUUUCCAUUGUUGAUGUCAAAUAAUUCUUCACUAAAAAUAUUCGAUCCACACCAGAUGCUACAUAAUUAACUGCACAUCAGAAUAACAACAUUUCUGUGAAACAUAUAUCUGACCUUUUGUGUAGUAGAACAUUGUAACAGAUAUCACAAGGGCAUUGAAGAGAAUCACUGUUAUCCAAGUCAUUCCAGCAACAAAAUGGCGUAUCAUCAAUAGCCAUAUAACAGACAAAAAGACGGGGAGGAUUC
Molecule: long non-coding RNA, 5527 nt
Filed under: Musa acuminata (dwarf banana)
Lineage: Eukaryota; Viridiplantae; Streptophyta; Magnoliopsida; Zingiberales; Musaceae
Description: long non-coding RNA (MACU_LNC003747)
Source: RNAcentral